UAAAGAUUCAUCGCUGAUAGAUAGGCAUGCGUUCCAUUAGGCAGUUGGCGGGGUAACGGCCCACCAAACCGACGAUGGAUAGGGGUUCUGAGAGGAAGGUCCCCCACAUUGGUACUGAGACACGGACCAAACUCCUACGGGAGGCAGCAGUGAGGAAUAUUGGUCAAUGGGCGUAAGCCUGAACCAGCCAAGUCGCGUGAGGGAUGAAGGUUCUAUGGAUCGUAAACCUCUUUUAUAAGGGAAUAAAGUGCGGGACGUGUCCCGUUUUGUAUGUACCUUAUGAAUAAGGAUCGGCUAACUCCGUGCCAGCAGCCGCGGUAAUACGGAGGAUCCGAGCGUUAUCCGGAUUUAUUGGGUUUAAAGGGUGCGUAGGCGGCCUUUUAAGUCAGCGGUGGAAGUCUGUGGCUCAACCAUAGAAUUGCCGUUGAAACUGGGAGGCUUGAGUAUGUUUGAGGCAGGCGGAAUGCGUGGUGUAGCGGUGAAAUGCUUAGAUAUCACGCAGAACCCCGAUUGCGAAGGCAGCCUGCCAAGCCAUGACUGACGCUGAUGCACGAAAGCGUGGGGAUCAAACAGGAUUAGAUACCCUGGUAGUCCACGCAGUAAACGAUGAUCACUAGCUGUUUGCGAUACACAGUAA
Molecule: ribosomal RNA, 637 nt
Filed under: uncultured bacterium
Lineage: Bacteria
Description: bacterial SSU rRNA
Rfam family: Bacterial small subunit ribosomal RNA
Source: RNAcentral